AGCGGCGGACGGGUGAGUAACGCGUGGGUAACCUGCCUCAUACAGGGGGAUAACAGUUGGAAACGGCUGCUAAUACCGCAUAAGCGCACAGUACCGCAUGGUACCGUGUGAAAAACUCCGGUGGUAUGAGAUGGACCCGCGUCUGAUUAGGUAGUUGGUGGGGUAACGGCCUACCAAGCCGACGAUCAGUAGCCGACCUGAGAGGGUGACCGGCCACAUUGGGACUGAGCAUGGCCCAA
Molecule: ribosomal RNA, 239 nt
Filed under: uncultured bacterium
Lineage: Bacteria
Description: partial 16S ribosomal RNA
Rfam family: Bacterial small subunit ribosomal RNA
Source: RNAcentral